UACAAGACAAAAGACAUUUGCACGUGUAGUGUUUGGUAGAAAAAAAUUGGAAAAGUGGGAGAAUUUGUGUAAUAUUUUAUAAUAAUUAAAUAUAACAAUGCCUGAAGAUGAAGGUAUUGAUAAAAAGAAAUCCCAUCGCGCUCGCCAAUCCGGAGUUAAGGCGGAGAAAAAGAAAUUGAAAGCUAAAAAAGAGUCAAACCAAAAAGAACCCAACUUAACGGCACGCCAACGGAAUCCCAAAGCAUUUGCCAUCAAUUCUGCUCAAAGAGCUGAAAGAAACUUUCGGCGCAAAGAGGAUAUAACAGCGAAGAAGCAACACAUACCGGUAGUAGAUCAAACUCCAGAUGAGCCACCACCUGUAUUGAUAGCUGUUGUUGGUCCACCAAAAGUGGGCAAAACCACUUUAAUUAACAAUUUAAUCAAAACCUUCACAAAAACUAAUGUGAAUGAUAUUAAAGGUCCUAUAACCAUAGUCACUUCCAAGAAGAGACGCAUUACCCUCUUGGAAUGCAACAAUGAUAUCAAUUCCAUGAUUGAUGUAGCCAAGUGUGCUGACUUGGUGUUGCUAAUGUGUGAUGCCAGUUAUGGUUUUGAGAUGGAAAUUUUUGAAUUCCUCAACAUUUGCCAGGUUCAUGGUAUGCCCAAGAUAAUGGGCGUUCUUACUCAUUUGGAUAUGAUUAAAAAUCCCAAAGCGUUAAGAAAACGCAAAAAGGAACUUAAACAUCGUUUUUGGACAGAAGUUUAUGAUGGCGCCAAAUUGUUCUAUUUGUCUGGUUUGCUUCAUGGUGAAUAUUUAAGGAAUGAAGUUAAGAAUUUGGGACGUUUUAUAUCGGUAAUGAAGUUUAGACCCCUACAGUGGCGUGGAGCACACAGCUAUGUGAUAGUAGAUCGUGUAGAAGAUAUUACAAAUACCGAUACCAUACGCCGUAAUCCAAAAUGUGAUCGAGAUGUGGUGUUAUAUGGUUAUGUUCGCGGUGUUCCUUUGAAACAGGAACAUAUGGUACAUAUAGCAGGUUUGGGUGAUGUCCGCAUUAAUGAAUUAAAUGUUAUACCAGAUCCUUGUCCUUUGCCGGGUACUGAGAAAAAACGUACUUUGCUGGAAAAGGAACGUUUGCUCUAUGCUCCCAUGUCUGGUGUGGGUGGUAUUGUUUACGACAAGGAUGCUGUGUAUAUAGAAUUACAAGGAUCUCAUAGCCAUAAAGAGAAGAGUGCAGAUGCCACUGAACAGGAGGAAUUGGUGGGAAAGCUUAUAGAAAAGAAACAGACGGUAGAUGAACAAAUUGAUGAGCAAGAAUUCAGAUUGUUUUCUGAUGGUCAAGCAAUCAAAUCAAAAGAUUAUGUGGAAGAUGAUCCUGAGAAUAGCGAAGAGGAAGUUGAUGAGGAUGAUUCUGGUGUUGAUGACGAUGAAGAAUCAGAUAGCAAUGAAAAGGAUGAUGAAUUCGAGGCAGAUGACUGGCGCAAUGAAGAUUCCGAAGAGGAACCUAAAGAUGAUAGCAACUCCGAACAGGAUUCAUCAGAUGAUGAUGACUAUCAAGAUUUAGAAAAGAUUACAAAAACUAAAAAAUCGAAAUUCAAUGCUGACAGUGAUGAUAGCGAAGAAGAAAAUGGCAUUGAAGAUGAAGAUAGUAGUGAUGAUGACGAUGCUGAUCAGGAAGCUAUAUUAGCAAACAGCAUGAGUUGGAAAGAAAAUCUAGCUGAGAAAGCUAGAGAUGCAUUUUUACAACGUCAUUCAGAAUCAAAGAACUUAAUGCGUCUGGUCUAUGGCUGUUAUCUUCAAAGUGAGCGCAAAAAGGAUGACGAAAAUAUGGAUCAACAAGAAUCGGAAAAUUCCGAUGAUGACGAAAUCGGUGGUCUCUUCAAGGUGGCGGCUAAAAAGCAAACACAAAUGCAGAAAGAUAAAGACAUACGUGAUAAAGAUGAGUCGUGCUUUUUCCAAGACAGCUUUGAAACUACUAGAAAUUGGUUGCAAGACAGUAAUAAAGACUUGAUAAAGAACUGUUUUGUUACGGGCAAGUGGAAAGCUUCUGAAGAUGCAGAAAAUCUUUUACGUUUAGACGACAUGAGUGAUGCAGAAAGUGAAGUUUAUGGUGAUUUUGAAGAUUUAGAAACGGGUGAAAAACAAAGUGGUAAACCUAAAGAUUUAGAAGACGAUGCUACCAAGAAUGAAACAGAGGAAUCGGAAAAUAGAAAACGUAAAAUGACUCGUGUGGAGGAAGAAAAUCUUACAAAAGCUGAAAUAAUGGCAAAAAAAUUAAAGCUUAAGGCCAAAUUUGAUGCUGAGUACGACAAUAAGGGAGAAAAAGAAGACGAUGGCCGUAUCACGGGUGACCACGAUUACUAUGAAAGCCUUAAAGCGGAAGCUCAAAAACAAUCACAACUGAAUAAAAGUGAAUUUGAAAAUCUUGAUAACGAUUUGCGUAUACAAAUUGAAGGCUAUAGAGCAGGUUUAUACGUGCGUUUGGGUUUCAAAGAUCUACCAGCUGAGUUUAUAGAAAACUUUGAUCCCACAUAUCCUGUGUUGAUUGGCGGUCUUAACAUGUCAGAAGAAAACAUCGGUUAUGUAAACUGCAAAGUUAAGAAACACAGAUGGUACAAAAAGAUUUUAAAAUCUGGUGAUCCCAUUAUAAUAUCUAUGGGUUGGAGACGAUUCCAAACGGUCGCAGUUUACGCUAAAGUGGAAGAUAAUUUCCGUCAUCGUUUUUUGAAAUAUACUCCCGAACAUGUUACCUGUAGCAUGACUUUUUGGGGGCCAAUUACACCUCAAAAUACUGGUUUCUUGGCUUUGCAAACUGUGCGUCAUGAUCAGGAGGAAUUAAAAAGAAUAGGCUUUCGCAUUGCGGCAACUGGUUGUGUUACAGAACUCGAUAAAUCGUGCCAAAUUAUGAAGAAACUAAAACUUGUAGGUCAUCCUUUCAAAAUCUACAAAAAAUCUGCAUUUAUUAAGGGUAUGUUCAAUACUAGCUUGGAAGUCGCGAAAUUCGAAGGUGCUAAAAUUAAAACCGUGUCCGGUAUCCGAGGUCAAAUUAAAAAGUCCCAUCACACACCCGAAGGCUCAUUCAGGGCAACAUUUGAAGAUAAGAUUUUAUUGAGUGAUAUUGUAUUUUGCAGAACAUGGUUCCGUGUGGAUGUGCAUCGUUUUUACGCUCCUGUUACUACACUUUUACUCCCACCAGAGCAAAAACUAUUCUGGCAGGGUAUGAAGACUUUGGGACAAUUAAAACGAGAGCGGGAAAUUAAAAAUGAAGUUCAGCCCGAUAGUUUGUAUACUGAAAUCAAACGCACACCUAAGGUGUUUAAACCUUUGGUCAUACCAAAGGCUUUACAAAGAGCUCUACCUUAUAAAGAUAAACCUAAAGCUGGCCCUCUAAAUCCUAAAGAGAAAGAAGAACGCGUAGCUGUCAUACGAUCACCUCACGAACAAAAGGUUGCUAAACUAAUGAACAUGAUUGAAACAAAUUAUCAAGAAAAGCGUAAUAAGGACAGACAUGACACCAAAGUACGCGUGAAGAAAUUCAAGUUACAGAAAAAGGCCGAAGAACUUUCAAAACUGAAGCGUCAAAAAGAGUUGCGUAAAAAGGUUUCCCGAGCUUUAAGUAAAAUGAAGGGAAAACAAAAACAAUGAUAAAGGAUCCCUGCCAGUUUAGGUUACACGUUUGUCUUAACACAACAACUUUUUGAUGGGGUUUCAAUAGAAAACAUGAUGAGUUAUUGAAAGUAAUUUGACGCUUCAUUGCAUCUUGUUUAUCACCUUGGUAAAUCACCAUAGUGACCAAACACCAAAUUCUUAAUGUGACGUCAGUAUGAAAUGCAUUUCAUGGCUUGCAAUACAACUGGAAGGAAACCAAAUAUUUAGUAUAAAGUUUUAAGCGGAAAUGGAGUAUAAUAUAUUUGAACGCACUGUGAGUUGGUUUAAAGAUACAUUCACAACAAAACAAUAGGUCUUAUUAGAAAUAAAUUCGCCGUACUAUAAUGUCAAAUUUAUCCGAUACUUUACAAGCAACGUGUGAGAAGAGAAUUCAAAUUGGAAUUUUGUGCUCAUGAGAAAGAAUUUGGCAAGAAUUCUUCUUUUGUGAAUCAAUAUAAAUUCCAUUAUUCAUUUUUAAUGAAUAAAAAUGUGUGGUCGGUUGGGUUUUAUGAAUUUUCCCCCCAAAGAGAAUAGAAAAUUCUUGUAGUAAACAAUAAAGAUGAAUUCGCCUUGAGUAAAGAAACAGCACUCUCAUCCCUCUCUGAUUGUUGGAACACACCAGUGCAAGAAGCCACUAUGUGAUGGAAUUUCAUGUUUUUAAAUUUUUAGUCUCAGUGCUCAUGCGACGCGUAUACAACACGUUUACGGGAGAUUGAAGUAAUAAAUGCGAUACGUGUUGAUUGUGUAGUUUGUAUAUUUUGUUUAAAUGGUUAAAUUAUUAAAUGAAGGAAAAUCAAAUGGUUUCCCUCGCCCAAAAAAUACACACUUGCCGUAUGUACCAGUGAAAAAGUGAAUAAAAGAAAAGAAUUAUAAGAAAAAAUACAACAAAAAGAAGUACCUAUGUAAUUAAAAAAAACAUACUACAUACAAUACCCUUACAACUUGAAAACAAAAACAAAAUUAAAUUACAAUAAAAAAUUUGUUAAAAUUCUUAGUAAAUAGGUUUGGUUUGUGUUAAAAACAGCAUUUUAUUAACUAACUUUAACAAACGUGUAUAUACAACUUUUAUUGUUUGCUGUCUGACAUAAGUCCACGUUGUCGUCAUCAGUAGUAACAUCAAAAUUA
RNAcentral lists this unclassified non-coding RNA (4750 nucleotides) under Lucilia cuprina (Australian sheep blowfly). RNAcentral's name for it is "ribosome biogenesis protein BMS1 homolog, transcript variant X15". The record is from RNAcentral. Lineage: Eukaryota; Metazoa; Arthropoda; Insecta; Diptera; Calliphoridae.